This 569-nucleotide ribosomal RNA is filed under the name uncultured bacterium. RNAcentral's name for it is "partial 16S ribosomal RNA". It matches the Rfam family "Bacterial small subunit ribosomal RNA", at positions 355 to 914 of the family's 1533-position model. The record is from RNAcentral.
UAGGGAAUCUUCCACAAUGGACGCAAGUCUGAUGGAGCAACGCCGCGUGAGUGAAGAAGGUCUUCGGAUCGUAAAGCUCUGUUGUUGGUGAAGAAGGAUAGAGGCAGUAACUGGUCUUUAUUUGACGGUAAUCAACCAGAAAGUCACGGCUAACUACGUGCCAGCAGCCGCGGUAAUACGUAGGUGGCAAGCGUUGUCCGGAUUUAUUGGGCGUAAAGCGAGCGCAGGCGGAAUGAUAAGUCUGAUGUGAAAGCCCACGGCUCAACCGUGGAACUGCGUCGGAAACUGUCAUUCUUGAGUGCAGAAGAGGAGAGUGGAACUCCAUGUGUAGCGGUGGAAUGCGUAGAUAUAUGGAAGAACACCAGUGGCGAAGGCGGCUCUCUGGUCUGCAACUGACGCUGAGGCUCGAAAGCAUGGGUAGCGAACAGGAUUAGAUACCCUGGUAGUCCAUGCCGUAAACGAUGAGCGCUAGGUGUUGGGGACUUUCCGGUCCUCAGUGCCGCAGCAAACGCAUUAAGCGCUCCGCCUGGGGAGUACGACCGCAAGGUUGAAACUCAAAGUGAAUUGAC